This 564-nucleotide ribosomal RNA is filed under the name uncultured Glomeromycotina. RNAcentral describes it as "SSU rRNA". It matches the Rfam family "Eukaryotic small subunit ribosomal RNA", at positions 548 to 1114 of the family's 1831-position model. Lineage: Eukaryota; Fungi; Glomeromycota. The record is from RNAcentral.
UUGGAGGGCAAGUCUGGUGCCAGCAGCCGCGGUAAUUCCAGCUCCAAUAGCGUAUAUUAAAGUUGUUGCAGUUAAAAAGCUCGUAGUUGAAUUUCGGGAUCAAGGAAUCGGUCAUGCCUCGGUAUGUACUGGUUUUAUUGGUUCUCACCUUCUAAAGAACCAUAAUGUCAUUUAUUUGAUGUUAUGGGGAAUUAGGACUGUUACCUUGAAAAAAUUAGAGUGUUUAAAGCAAGCUCACGCUUGAAUACAUUAGCAUGGAAUAAUGAAAUAGGACAUCCGAUUCUAUUUUGUUGGUCUCUAGGAUCGAUGUAAUGAUUAAUAGGGAUAGUUGGGGGCAUUAGUAUUCAAUUGUCAGAGGUGAAAUUCUUGGAUUUAUUGAAGACUGACUACUGCGAAAGCAUUUGCCAAGGAUGUUUUCAUUAAUCAAGAACGAAAGUUAGGGGAUCGAAGACGAUCAGAUACCGUCGUAGUCUUAACCAUAAACUAUGCCGACUAGGGAUCGGAUGAUGUUUAUUUUUUAGUGACUCAUUCGGCACCUUACGGGAAACCAAAGUGUUUGGGUUC